This is a long non-coding RNA of Astatotilapia calliptera (eastern happy), 1062 nucleotides long. NCBI's taxonomy places the organism in Eukaryota, Metazoa, Chordata, Actinopteri, Cichliformes, Cichlidae. The record is from Ensembl.
UAACAUAACAUAAUAUCAUCAUUAGGUAAUAUAUGUUUAAGGAGACCAUUUUGAUUUAAAUUUAAAGUAAACUUCUUUGAGGAAAAAGAAGCAAAGGCCCUUUUUUAUUUUUAAAAUGACAUCCUGUAAGUUUUCUUUAAAUCUGACUAGAUCUGCCAUGACAUUGGGAGAAUGAGAGAGUGAGAACUGAAUGGAAAGAAAGUGAAUGAAAGACACAGAUAGUGAGAGAGCUCAAGGUAAAACAGACCAACAGGGCUGGAAGAGGAGUACCAAGGAGAGGUCGAUCCAGGGUCGGUGAAGGCCCGGCGGCCAUGGAUCCUUCUCUAGGAGGACAGACUCUGAUAAGGCCCAGGCAGCUCAUACAGUGCUGAGGUUUAUGAGGGCACCAAGAUAACAGCCUGCUGAUAGGACCAAGCAACUCAGCUGGACUGCAGAUAAGAGGCAAGGACUUGUUGCCCUCAACAGGAACAAGAUUUCUAAUUUCUACAGACCCUGCGCUACUGUGGUAGCAGCAUCACCAUUUCUGUUUGGAGAUAGAAAAUGAAAAAGGUUAUUUUUUUUGUUUUUUCUUUUGUUUUUUUGUAUUUUCUUCAUUAAUUACUUACGUUUUGGCUUGCUUCAAGCAAUUGCCAUUUUUUAUAUCCACAUUGCACAAAGAAAAACUGAAAAUUAUAUACUUUUCAAAUGCAAACUGUAUGUAAUUACUUUACAAUUCAAGCUGUUAUUUCAACAUGUGUAUUUAACAUUCAGGUGUUUAUACUGUAGGUGUUCAUAAUUAAUAUUAACAUUUGGGAUUGCAAAGUAAUUAUUUUAUUCUCUUUAUUCCCUGUAUUCUAACGGAAAUCAAGAGAAACCCAGAAUCUUUCCAGAAUAUUUAAUAACUUUUCAUUCCAGAAAAAAAGAAGCAUUAGUUCUGGUCUCAGCAAACUCAUUUUGGUCAGACAUACUUUUGUGACAUAAAUAUUAUAUUGACAUUCAGCUGUUUGUAUUUUAUACUUUGAUCUAUAUUGUAUAAUGUGAUGAAACCUAAACUGCCUUGUUUCACCUUUCAUUUCUGUUGUG